GAACCAGUACCGUGAGGGAAAGGCGAAAAGAACCCCGGCGAGGGGAGUGAAAAAGAACCUGAAACCGUGUACGUACAAGCAGUGGGAGCACAGAGCAAUCUGUGUGACUGCGUACCUUUUGUAUAAUGGGUCAGCGACUUAUAUUCUGUAGCAAGGUUAACCGAAUAGGGGAGCCGAAGGGAAACCGAGUCUUAACUGGGCGUUAAGUUGCAGGGUAUAGACCCGAAACCCGGUGAUCUAGCCAUGGGCAGGUUGAAGGUUGGGUAACACUAACUGGAGGACCGAACCGACUAAUGUUGAAAAAUUAGCGGAUGACUUGUGGCUGGGGGUGAAAGGCCAAUCAAACCGGGAGAUAGCUGGUUCUCCCCGAAAGCUAUUUAGGUAGCGCCUCGUGAAUUCAUCUCCGGGGGUAGAGCACUGUUUCGGCAAGGGGGUCAUCCCGACUUACCAACCCGAUGCAAACUGCGAAUACCGGAGAAUGUUAUCACGGGAGACACACGGCGGGUGCUAACGUCCGUCGUGAAGAGGGAAACAACCCAGACCGCCAGCUAAGGUCCCAAAGUCAUGGUUAAGUGGGAAACGAUGUGGGAAGGCCCAGACAGCCAGGAUGUUGGCUUAGAAGCAGCCAUCAUUUAAAGAAAGCGUAAUAGCUCACUGGUCGAGUCGGCCUGCGCGGAAGAUGUAACGGGGCUAAACCAUGCACCGAAGCUGCGGCAGCGACACUGUGUGUUGUUGGGUAGGGGAGCGU
Molecule: ribosomal RNA, 748 nt
Filed under: Escherichia coli
Lineage: Bacteria; Pseudomonadati; Pseudomonadota; Gammaproteobacteria; Enterobacterales; Enterobacteriaceae
Description: partial 23S ribosomal RNA
Rfam family: Bacterial large subunit ribosomal RNA
Source: RNAcentral